UGGGGAAUUUUCCGCAAUGGGCGCAAGCCUGACGGAGCAAUACCGUGUGAGGGAGGAAGGCUUUUGGGUUGUAAACCUCUUUUCUCAAGGAAGAAGCACUGACGGUACUUGAGGAAUCAGCAUCGGCUAACUCCGUGCCAGCAGCCGCGGUAAUACGGAGGUUGCAAGCGUUAUUCGGAAUUAUUCGGCGUAAAGCGUCCGCAGGUGGUGCCUCAAGUCUGCUGUCAAAGACCGAAGCUCAACUUCGGGCAGGCUGUGGAAACUGAAGCACUAGAGUACGGUAGGGGGAGAGGGAAUUUCCAGGGUAGCGGUGAAAUGCGUAGAGAUUGGAAAGAACACCAGUGGCGAAGGCGCUCUACUGGACCGUAACUGACACUCAGGGACGAAAGCGAGGGGAGCGAGAGGGAUUAGAUACCCCCGUAGUCC
RNAcentral lists this ribosomal RNA (426 nucleotides) under uncultured prokaryote. RNAcentral's name for it is "bacterial SSU rRNA". It matches the Rfam family "Bacterial small subunit ribosomal RNA", at positions 355 to 796 of the family's 1533-position model. The record is from RNAcentral.